AAUACAUGCAAGUUGAGCGAUGAAGAUUGGUGCUUGCACCAAUUUGAAGAGCAGCGAACGGGUGAGUAACGCGUGGGGAAUCUGCCUUUGAGCGGGGGACAACAUUUGGAAACGAAUGCUAAUACCGCAUAACAACUUUAAACAUAAGUUUUAAGUUUGAAAGAUGCAAUUGCAUCACUCAAAGAUGAUCCCGCGUUGUAUUAGCUAGUUGGUGAGGUAAAGGCUCACCAAGGCGAUGAUACAUAGCCGACCUGAGAGGGUGAUCGGCCACAUUGGGACUGAGACACGGCCCAAACUCCUACGGGAGGCAGCAGUAGGGAAUCUUCGGCAAUGGACGAAAGUCUGACCGAGCAACGCCGCGUGAGUGAAGAAGGUUUUCGGAUCGUAAAACUCUGUUGGUAGAGAAGAACGUUGGUGAGAGUGGAAAGCUCAUCAAGUGACGGUAACUACCCAGAAAGGGACGGCUAACUACGUGCCAGCAGCCGCGGUAAUACGUAGGUCCCGAGCGUUGUCCGGAUUUAUUGGGCGUAAAGCGAGCGCAGGUGGUUUAUUAAGUCUGGUGUAAAAGGCAGUGGCUCAACCAUUGUAUGCAUUGGAAACUGGUAGACUUGAGUGCAGGAGAGGAGAGUGGAAUUCCAUGUGUAGCGGUGAAAUGCGUAGAUAUAUGGAGGAACACCGGUGGCGAAAGCGGCUCUCUGGCCUGUAACUGACACUG
Molecule: ribosomal RNA, 715 nt
Filed under: Lactococcus lactis
Lineage: Bacteria; Bacillati; Bacillota; Bacilli; Lactobacillales; Streptococcaceae
Description: bacterial SSU rRNA
Rfam family: Bacterial small subunit ribosomal RNA
Source: RNAcentral